This 381-nucleotide unclassified non-coding RNA is filed under the name soil metagenome. RNAcentral describes it as "partial contains 5.8S ribosomal RNA, internal transcribed spacer 2, and large subunit ribosomal RNA". The stretch from base 1 to 120 matches the Rfam family "5.8S ribosomal RNA", at positions 35 to 154 of the family's 154-position model. The record is from RNAcentral.
GAUGAAGAACGCAGCGAAAUGCGAUAAGUAAUGUGAAUUGCAGAAUUCAGUGAAUCAUCGAAUCUUUGAACGCACCUUGCGCUCCUUGGUAUUCCGAGGAGCAUGCCUGUUUGAGUGUCAUUAAUAUAUCAACCUCUUCAGCUUAUGCUUGUUGGGUGUUGGAUGGUGGGGGUUUGCUGGUGUCUUAUGAAGUCAGCUCCUCUGAAAUGCAUUAGCGGAACAAUUUGUUGACCGUUCAUUGGUGUGAUAAAAAUAUCUACGCUAUUGACGUCAGUCAGUUCAGCUUCUAACAGUCCAUUGACUUGGACAAAUUUUUCAUUAAUGUGACCUCAAAUCAGGUAGGACUACCCGCUGAACUUAAGCAUAUCAAUAAGCGGAGGA